Termitomyces sp. T32_za158 is the source of this 94-nucleotide non-coding RNA. NCBI's taxonomy places the organism in Eukaryota, Fungi, Basidiomycota, Agaricomycetes, Agaricales, Lyophyllaceae. The record is from the annotation of a GenBank genome assembly.
UCGGAUAUGGUGUAAUGGCUAACAUUGCCGCCUCUCAUACAUGUAGGAUGGAGUACCAACGCGGCAGCUCGGGGUUCGAUUCCCCGUAUCCGAA